AACUUUUGACAAUGGAUCUCUUGGCUCUCGCAUCGAUGAAGAACGCAGCGAAAUGUGAUAAGUAAUGUGAAUUGCAGAAUUCAGAGAAUCAUCGAAUCUUUGAACGCAUCUUGCGCUCCCUGGUAUUCCGGGGAGCAUGUCUGUUUGAGUGUCAUGAACUCUUCAACCCACUAAUUUCUUGUAAAUUAUGUUGGUGUUUGGAUUUUGAGUGUUGCUGGUCUUUAUUGACGUAGCUCAUUCGUAAUACAUUAGCAUCUCUAAUUCGAAUUCGGAUUGACUCGGCGUAAUAGACUAUUCGCUGAGGACAUACUUUAUUGUGUGGCCGAAUAUGAAAGCGGAAGCUUCUAAUCAAAAUAAGUCAAUUUUUAAGAUUAGACCUCAGAUCAGGCAGGAUUACCCGCUGAACUUAAGCAUAUCAAUAAGCGGAGGAU
RNAcentral lists this unclassified non-coding RNA (431 nucleotides) under uncultured Sporidiobolales. Its description in RNAcentral is "sequence contains ITS2". The stretch from base 1 to 154 matches the Rfam family "5.8S ribosomal RNA". The record is from RNAcentral. Lineage: Eukaryota; Fungi; Basidiomycota; Microbotryomycetes; Sporidiobolales.